This 235-nucleotide ribosomal RNA is filed under the name uncultured bacterium. RNAcentral describes it as "partial 16S ribosomal RNA". It matches the Rfam family "Bacterial small subunit ribosomal RNA", at positions 96 to 334 of the family's 1533-position model. The record is from RNAcentral.
UGGCGGACGGGUGAGUAAUGUCUGGGGAACUGCCUGAUGGAGGGGGAUAACUACUGGAAACGGUAGCUAAUACCGCAUAACGUCGCAAGACCAAAGAGGGGGACCUUCGGGCCUCUUGCCAUCGGAUGUGCCCAGAUGGGAUUAGCUAGUAGGUGGGGUAACGGCUCACCUAGGCGACGAUCCCUAGCUGGUCUGAGAGGAUGACCAGCCACACUGGAACUGAGACACGGUCCAG